This 226-nucleotide unclassified non-coding RNA is filed under the name uncultured fungus. RNAcentral describes it as "sequence contains ITS1, 5.8S rRNA gene". The stretch from base 178 to 226 matches the Rfam family "5.8S ribosomal RNA", at positions 1 to 49 of the family's 154-position model. The record is from RNAcentral. Lineage: Eukaryota; Fungi.
UCUCCGUAGGUGAACCUGCGGAGGGAUCAUUACUGAGUGAGGGUCUCCGGGCCCGACCUCCAACCCUUUUGUGAACCACCUCGUUGCUUCGGGGGCGACCCUGCCGUUCGGGCAGUGCGCCCCCGAAGGUCUCCAAACACUGCAUCUUUGCGUCGGAGUUUAACACAAAUGAAACAAAACUUUCAACAACGGAUCUCUUGGUUCUGGCAUCGAUGAAGAACGCAGC